AUCUUCCACAAUGGACGAAAGUCUGAUGGAGCAACGCCGCGUGAGCGAAGAAGGUCUUCGGAUCGUAAAACUCUGUCCUUGGGGAAGAAGGUCUUCGGACUUGACGGUACCUAAGGAGGAAGCCUCGGCUAACUACGUGCCAGCAGCCGCGGUAAUACGUAGGGGGCAAGCGUUGUCCGGAAUUAUUGGGCGUAAAGGGUGCGUAGGCGGCCUUUUAAGUCAGAUGUGAAAGCCCACGGCUUAACCGUGGGACUGCAUUUGAAACUGGAGGGCUUGAGUAUCGGAGAGGGUAGUGGAAUUCCCAGUGUAGCGGUGGAAUGCGUAGAUAUUGGGAGGAACACCAGUGGCGAAGGCGACUACCUGGACGAAAACUGACGCUGAGGCACGAAAGCUAGGGGAGCAUACAG
Molecule: ribosomal RNA, 407 nt
Filed under: uncultured bacterium
Lineage: Bacteria
Description: partial 16S ribosomal RNA
Rfam family: Bacterial small subunit ribosomal RNA
Source: RNAcentral